GCCAAUCAUUCCACUUUAUUAGAAAAUCCAUUGAAAAAGUGCGACAUUUCUUUAUAGCAGGUAAACAACUCGAAUAGCGGCUAACAUAUGUUCUCAUGAACCCUCUAAAAGUCUGUAAAGGUCCACUUACAGUAGACUAAAAUCAUAUAUCAUUCACGAUAAACAACCAGUAACUGUUUUCCGACAUUGCGGCCGAAGAAUAAUCCUACUAGAGAUGUCGGACCACUCUCAAGUCCUUCAGCAACAUCUUCUACAGAUACAAUCUUACCUUGUUUGAUGUAUG
Molecule: unclassified non-coding RNA, 283 nt
Filed under: Hevea brasiliensis (rubber tree)
Lineage: Eukaryota; Viridiplantae; Streptophyta; Magnoliopsida; Malpighiales; Euphorbiaceae
Source: RNAcentral